Molecule: long non-coding RNA, 534 nt
Organism: Spinacia oleracea (spinach)
Lineage: Eukaryota; Viridiplantae; Streptophyta; Magnoliopsida; Caryophyllales; Amaranthaceae
Exons: 4
Source: RefSeq, a predicted model, not a curated record
UCGGUCAUUAUCCCUCAUGAUUGUGAGCUGGUGAAAUAUCUUCAUCCAAAUUCAACAAAGCAAAUGGUCGAUCAAACUCAAUAAAUCAUGGUAGAAUAUUAUGAAAAUAUUCUUCGAUCCUUAGCCCUAAUUCCGGAUUCUUCGAUCUCCUGUCUUUUACUCUCAAUCAACAAUGUCAGACAAGUGUGGAAACUGCAACUGCGCAGCCAGUGUGUGAAGAAGGGAAACUAAUAUGGUGUUGAGAUGAUUGAUUCUGAGUACUCGGAAUUCAUGAUGAUGAAAGGUGCCGAGAAUGGUUGCAUGUGCAAGUGCAGCAGCAGCUGCAGUUGUCACUGAGCAUCUGCAGCCGAGAAUGGCUGCAUGAGCAACUGCGGCUGUCACUGAGCAUCUGCAACUCACCUAUUGUAGCUGAAAUGAUCUUAGGACAUAUUUAAGAUAUAGUACUUGAAUAGGAGACAUAUACCUAUAUAAAAUAACAAAGUUUUAUCCUCACCUGAGGAGCAUCCUCGUGUUCUGUAAUGUACCAUUUAUGUU